AUUGAACGCUGGCGGCAUGCUUUACACAUGCAAGUCGAACGGUAACAGGCCGCAAGGUGCUGACGAGUGGCGUACGGGUGAGUAAUGCAGCGGAACGUGCCCAGUCGUGGGGGAUAACUACUCGAAAGAGUAGCUAAUACCGCAUACGAUCUAUGGAUGAAAGCGGGGGACCGUAAGGCCUCGCGCGAUUGGAGCGGCAGAUGUCAGAUUAGGUAGUUGGUGGGGUAAAGGCUCACCAAGCCAACGAUCUGUAGCUGGUCUGAGAGGACAACCAGCCACACUGGGACUGAGACACGGCCCAGACUCCUACGGGAGGCAGCAGUGGGGAAUUUUGGACAAUGGGCGCAAGCCUGAUCCAGCAAUGCCGCGUGCAGGAAGAAGGCCUUCGGGUUGUAAACUGCUUUUGUACGGAACGAAACGGCUCUGGUUAAUACCCGGGGCUAAUGACGGUACCGUAAGAAUAAGCACCGGCUAACUACGUG
RNAcentral lists this ribosomal RNA (482 nucleotides) under uncultured bacterium. RNAcentral describes it as "partial 16S ribosomal RNA". It matches the Rfam family "Bacterial small subunit ribosomal RNA", at positions 30 to 507 of the family's 1533-position model. The record is from RNAcentral.